CCUACGGGUGGCAGCAGUGGGGAAUAUUGGACAAUGGGCGCAAGCCUGAUCCAGCCAUGCCGCGUGUGUGAAGAAGGCCUUCGGGUUGUAAAGCACUUUCAGUGGGGAAGAAAGCCUUGGGGCUAAUACCCUCGAGGAAGGACAUCACCCACAGAAGAAGCACCGGCUAACUCCGUGCCAGCAGCCGCGGUAAUACGGAGGGUGCGAGCGUUAAUCGGAAUUACUGGGCGUAAAGCGCGCGUAGGCGGUCUGUAAGCCGGUUGUGAAAGCCCCGGGCUCAACCUGGGAACGGCAUCCGGACUGCCAGGCUAGAGUGCAGGAGAGGAAGGUAGAAUUCCCGGUGUAGCGGUGAAAUGCGUAGAGAUCGGGAGGAAUACCGGUGGCGAAGGCGGCCCUCUGGACUGACACUGACGCUGAGGUGCGAAAGCGUGGGUAGCAAACAGGAUUAGAUACCCGAGUAGUC
Molecule: ribosomal RNA, 463 nt
Filed under: Vreelandella stevensii
Lineage: Bacteria; Pseudomonadati; Pseudomonadota; Gammaproteobacteria; Oceanospirillales; Halomonadaceae
Description: partial 16S ribosomal RNA
Rfam family: Bacterial small subunit ribosomal RNA
Source: RNAcentral